This is a non-coding RNA of Peromyscus maniculatus bairdii (prairie deer mouse), 247 nucleotides long. NCBI's taxonomy places the organism in Eukaryota, Metazoa, Chordata, Mammalia, Rodentia, Cricetidae. The record is from RefSeq and is a predicted model, not a curated record.
CACAGACAGCACCACCAUGAGCUGUAUGGGGCUAGCAUUCCCAGGCAGUCAAGGACCCCAGAGCGGCAUCUACUGCAGGAAAGGAGACCUUUCUUCUAGGGUGCAUACCUGAAGACUGCCAUACCCGAAGACUGCCAUACCCGAAGACGAUGCUCUCAAGUGGGAUGGUUUUCCAGACGUCCCUGUGGGACCUCUUCAUUUGUGGAACAGUACUGCCGGGUCUAGUGAAGCAGAAUGAAGGGUAAGG